CCUACGGGAGGCCGCAGUGGGGAAUAUUUCACAAUGGGGGAAACCCUGAUGCAGCGACGCCGCGUGAGUGAAGAAGUAUCUCGGUACGUAAAGCUCUAUCAGCAGGGAAGAAAAUGACGGUACCUGACUAAGAAGCCCCGGCUAACUACGUGCCAGCAGCCGCGGUAAUACUUCGGGGGCAAGCGUUAUCCGGAUUUACUGGGAGGAAAGGGAGCGUAGAAGGCAGCACAAGUCUGGAGUGAAAUCCCGGGGCUUAACCCCGGAACUGCUUUGGAUACUGUGCGGCUGGAGUGCAGGAGGGGUAAGCGGAAGUCCGAGUGUAGCGGUGAAAUGCGUAGAUAUUAGGAGGAACACCGGUGGCGAAGGCGGCUUACUGGACUGUAACUGACGUUGAGGCUCGAAAGCGUGGGGAGCAAACAGGAUUAGAUACCCCAGUAGUC
RNAcentral lists this ribosomal RNA (440 nucleotides) under uncultured bacterium. Its description in RNAcentral is "partial 16S ribosomal RNA". It matches the Rfam family "Bacterial small subunit ribosomal RNA", at positions 338 to 795 of the family's 1533-position model. The record is from RNAcentral.